Molecule: long non-coding RNA, 1719 nt
Filed under: Amphibalanus amphitrite
Lineage: Eukaryota; Metazoa; Arthropoda; Thecostraca; Balanomorpha; Balanidae
Description: uncharacterized LOC122388609
Source: RNAcentral
AUCUAAUGUCCUUAAUGAAAUGCUGCGUGACCGUUUGGUCUGUGGCAUACGGAACGAGUUGCUGCAACCUUGCUUCUCAGUGAGCCGGGGCUGACGCUCCAGUCGGCGGAGCAGCUGGCCCAGGCACACGAGUCGGCGGCAGCGAGUGCGGCUGAGCUCAGCGGCGGUGCUGAGCAGCGAGCAGAUGGAGCCUCCGUUCAUCGGCUGACUGGUGCCCGGGGUCCGCUGCGGCUGCGUAGCAGUUCCAGGGGUGCCGGUGCUGCCCGCGCUCCUGCCGGCUACAGGGACGGCGGUGGCGGCGCAGCAGACUCCAGAGCUGGUGGUCGGCUGCGCUCUCAGCGUGACAGGACGACGCCCGGGCCAGGUGACAGCACGGCGGCGAGCUGUUUCAGGUGCCUGAGGUAUCAUCAGCCGGACACGUGCUCGUUCAUCGAUAAGGUGUGCUACAGCUGUGGCCUCAGGGGUCACGUCCGAGCUGCCUGCAGGAAGAACCAGCAGCACCUCCGCCAUGUCUCGGCUGAUGGCGACGCGUUACAAGGGUCGGACGCGCAGGAGGGUAGCAGAGAGGACGGCACUACGCAACCGAGGAGUUCUAGUCCCGGGACCGGUGAGGAGGUGUACAGCAUUUUCACCGUCCGGACCGGCCUCAGUGUCAGGCGACCGCCGCUGAUGGUGCCGGUAGCGCUCGACGGUCAGAAGGUCGAGAUGGAGCUGGACCGACUCUGUCGGUCUGCUCUGACGCCGGGUUUCGGCAGCUCUGGCCCUGUGGAGGGCCGAAGCUGGAACCGUGUUCGGUGAAGCUGAAGACCUACAGCGGUGAGCAGCUGCCAGUCAUGGGGCAGGCUGCAGUGAACGUUCAGUACGGCGGACAGGCUCAGCGACUCCCUCUCAUCGUAGUCGAAGGUGGCGGGCCCUGGCUGUUCGGCAGGAACUGGCUGGGACACAUCAGGCUCGACUGGCCCUCCAUCUGUUGAGUGACUGCGGAGACCCGUGUGCAGCCCAUCCUGGACGAGUUCGCUGACGUCUUCAAGGAGGAGCUGGGCUGCUAUCGAGGCGGGGAAGUCGGCAUCGACGUAGACCCGGACGUCCAGCCUCGUUCCUUCAAGCCUCGCACCGUACCGCUGGCCUUUAGGGAAGCUGUGGACGCCGAGCUGGAGGACCAGAUCCGUGGCGGACUCUGGGAACAGAGUGACACCGAUACCUGCUCCUGAUCCGGUCACGGAGAGCGCCGCUGCAUCUACACGGCAUGCUCCCGUUCCCGGACAAUUACUGGCCUCCACUCCCGACCGGCUGCCGGCUCCUGAUCGAGCGCCUGCUCCUGGCCGGCCGCCUGUUCCGGCGCCGCCAGGGCUGACCGGAGCGGUGCCCGCGCCGGGUGUGACCACCGUCCCGCCGUCCGCACCCUCUCCCAGCGCGCCGCGGUACCGGCUGAGAGACCGGUCCACCCUGCGGCCCCCAGACCGAUGCGUGGCGAGCUAUGAGUAGGCGUUUUGUUUCAGUUGUUAUUUGUUCUGUGAGGUGCAUAUUUAUUUGUUUGUCCAUGCUGUGCAAGUAUUCUUGGUGGAGGAGUGUCAUGGAGCUGAGCUGGCGGCCGCCGCGCCGGUGCACGCGUACUUGCGCUCGUGACAUGCGCUCAUGACACUCGUAUGUGAACCGUGGUGGCGUUGCCUCUGUGACCCGGGGGCUACCUGGCCGGCUCGAAUACAGUUUGGACCGAGA